AUGCAAGUCGAGCGAAUCGAYGGGAGCUUGCUCCCUGAGAUUAGCGGCGGACGGGUGAGUAACACGUGGGCAACCUGCCUAUAAGACUGGGAUAACUUCGGGAAACCGGAGCUAAUACCGGAUACGUUCUUUUCUCGCAUGAGAGAAGAUGGAAAGACGGUUUACGCUGUCACUUAUAGAUGGGCCCGCGGCGCAUUAGCUAGUUGGUGAGGUAAUGGCUCACCAAGGCGACGAUGCGUAGCCGACCUGAGAGGGUGAUCGGCCACACUGGGACUGAGACACGGCCCAGACUCCUACGGGAGGCAGCAGUAGGGAAUCUUCCGCAAUGGACGAAAGUCUGACGGAGCAACGCCGCGUGAACGAAGAAGGCCUUCGGGUCGUAAAGUUCUGUUGUUAGGGAAGAACAAGUACCAGAGUAACUGCUGGUACCU
RNAcentral lists this ribosomal RNA (431 nucleotides) under Peribacillus simplex. Its description in RNAcentral is "bacterial SSU rRNA". It matches the Rfam family "Bacterial small subunit ribosomal RNA", at positions 55 to 480 of the family's 1533-position model. The record is from RNAcentral. Lineage: Bacteria; Bacillati; Bacillota; Bacilli; Caryophanales; Bacillaceae.